Molecule: RNA transcript, 3766 nt
Organism: Tympanuchus pallidicinctus (lesser prairie-chicken)
Lineage: Eukaryota; Metazoa; Chordata; Aves; Galliformes; Phasianidae
Gene: MTBP
Gene name: MDM2 binding protein
Exons: 23
Source: RefSeq, a predicted model, not a curated record
GGAGCCGAGCCCCGCGGCCCCGCACCGGGAAGCGGAAGCGCAGCGCUGCGAGGGGCGGAGCGAGGGCGGCUGCGCGGGCCGUUCGUCCUCGGCGGCCAUGGAGCGCUACGUGCUGCUCCUCGGCUGGGGGGCUGCGGCGGGCGGCGCCGAGCACGGAGCCGGCGCUGGAGCAGCUGUUGCAAAUGUUUAUAAGCUCCUGAAAGAAAAAUGUAAUUCAUCUAUAAAAACAAAUACAGUGACUUUUCCAGCAUGUUCAGUGGCUGGUAUUCCAGGCAUAAAGAAAUGGUACUUUGCGAGUCACAUUAUAUGUGGCUAUUAUCAAUUCUGCAGUUCUGACUGGGAGGAAAUAAAUUCUGACAUGCAGAAAAAUGAAGACUGUCUCCAAACAACUAUUGAGAAGUGUCUGGGAAACAUACAGAACUUUGAGGAAGAUGACAGUAACAGUAGGGAGUCACUGUCUAUGGCUGAUGUUUAUGAUGAAGCUGCAGAAAGUCUGCAUCAGUUGGCUGACAGACUGCCUGCCCCAGGAAGAGCAAUGGUGGAUAUCAUACUACAGGCUGUUGAAGGAGAUGCACCCAAGUUGAAAGACUGCUUACCUGUGAUUGGUGCCCUGAAACACCUGAGAGAAUGGCACUCUGCACAAAUCACCAUUGCAACAAGUGACUCUAAAGGCUGGCAAAAGAUUGCAGACUACCUAUCGGCAGACUUUGUCUCUUCAGAUGAUGUCAUGGAUGUUAUCGAUUUAAAAGAGCUCUGGAGGGGAAAGAUUCACAUAUGGGAAAGAAAGUUUGCAUCAGAAGUUAGCUUUCCAGAAUUUUGUAUGAAGAGCACUUCAGCAAAACCUCUCAGCACCUCACAUCUAAAUUCUUGCUUUGCUGACCAACGAUGUAUGAAUUCUGAUGCUUUGCCAGAGGUUUUUCAUUACUAUGGUCCUGCUUUAGAGUUUUUACAGAUGGUUGACCUCUCUGAACUCCCCCCCUUUUUUAUAUCAGAUCUGGAAUUUGAGCUGAGCCUGGCAAGAAAGGGUAAAAAACAGAUGUCUGCACUGCUUUUAGAUCAGAUUUCUUCUCUCUCUGGGAAGGUGGGAGCUUUAGUUUCAUUAGCAUGCAAUGUAAGCAGUGUAGUGAUCCCAUCUCCUGCCCAGCUGAGUACAAAGAAAUGGAAGGAAUAUAUGGCUAGGAAACCUAAGGUCAUUACUGUUCCAGAAAUUGAUCUGAAAGGAGAAUCUUGCCGAUACUAUUUCUUGCUACAAGGCAACGGUUCAGGAGGAUGUAAAGCAACCUUGAUUCAUUCUGCUACCCAAAUCAAUGGUAUGGCCAUUCUUGCUGCUGUAAAUAGAAUACUGAAGACAAAUGUAGGAGAAACAGAGUCAAGCUUUCCUACUGAUGACUUUAUUGAGUCUCUGCCGCGGUUCUGUGGAAAGCAAAUUGUACAGAGAGAAAAGAAACUGUCACAUCUCCAGGCAUCUGCUCUAAAGGAGUAUCUCAAGAGAAAGAAAGUGACUGAGCAGCCUCCAGUUAUUUCCACUGAUGAGCUCAAAAGCUUGUUAGAACUUACAAGAGAAUGCUUUUUGGACCUGUGGAACACUAAUGUUCCUGAACCUGUUCCACGGAAGACUGCCCAUAAAACUAGUUCACAUACAGUGGCUUCUGAAUCAGAUUUAAUGGAGCCAAAACCAUUGGAAUGGCCAGAAAGACAUGUUCUUCAGAAUUUGGAAAACUUUGAAAAAAUCAAACAAAAAAUGAGAGCUUCUAUGCUUGCACAUUCAUCUGAACAGCUGCUUGGACAUAAAGAUAGCCAGCGAGAGUCACUGACAUCACUUGAUGCAAAGGAGUUACUAAAAUACUUCACACCAGAAGGGCUGCCAGUUGGUGAUCUUCAGCCACUGCAUAUUCCCAAACGUGAAAAUGCAUUCUUUUUGACACCUGAGCUUACUCCUCGGAAGCUAAGAGGUCUGCCUUUUGAAAAAGCAGCUGGAUGCCAUUAUCAUGGAAUCGAAUACUGUCUAGAUAACAGGAGAGCUUUAGAGAGAGACUUGGGAUAUGCUGAACUUCAAGCUCGUCUUAUUCGCUAUGAAACUCAGACCACUUGCACCAAGGAAUGCUGCCCUCUGCCGGUCGUCUUGAGCCCUCUGCCGGCUGUCCUGAGCCCCCUGCCGUCUCCUGCAGUCUCGUCGGAGCCUGGAAGCGUCCCCGAUGGAGAGUCUUUACAAAGUGAAUUCAGAACAGAGGUACUGAGGCUAAAACGCAGAUCAAAAGACUUGGAUUGCUUUCAUCCCAAGAAAAGGCUAACAAAAUCAGAGAGUACAGACUCUCUCCUCUCCCAGGCAAGUGGGGGAAGUGGGAGUCAUAAUGCUCUGGUGGUAACCAGGAAGCGCUCUGAAAGAUCAGUUUCUUUAAGUUCGAUGGCAUUGAAGCAGUCUGGUCAGUCCCACAAAGCAGCCAUGAGGGCUGGUUCAGCAAGCUGUGUAAGUGCAACAGAAUCUGAGACUUCAAAGCCAGUUAAGGAAUCGAGAUCUCAGAAACAUACAAGGAUGCUGAAGGAGGUGGUAGCCAAGACUCUACAAAAGCAUGGAAUUGCUGAGGAUCACAAGUGCUUUCCAUCAUGCAGCCAACGUCUAUUUGAGAUAUCAAAGUUUUACUUAAAGGACCUUAAAACUUCUAGAGGACUUCUUGAUGAAAUGAAAAAAACAGCAAGUAACAAUGCUAAGCAGGUGAUUGAAUGGGUUCUGGAGAAAACUGGCAAGUAGACACUGCAGAGACACAGCACUUCUGACUGCAGGGAAAACAUACUGAGUAACACCUGCAACUACCUACUGAAGCACCAGAAGAACUUGCUGCAAAUAUUUAAGUCACUAAGGAAAUAAGAAGCACGUUGAGAGCAGAUGAGAUCUGUGUGCCCCUAGGCUUAUAUCCACCUGGGUAAGCAGCUAACACUGACUCCAAUGCUGUAAGCUCUUUUCUAAGAGUUUCAAACCCUCCAUGUUUUCAGGAGUAGGGAUGGUGGUGUGACUGCUGUGUCCAAUACCUCCUCCUCAUACUUUUCCCUAUGUAUCUGCUCUUGGUCACUGCUGAAGCCAAAACACUGUACCACGACCUGACCGCAUGGCUGCUCCAACAGGCUGAGAAUAAACACUUUACAGAAUGUUAUAUUAUCAAAGGAUAUAAAGAAUUGAGUAGCCAAUAUGCUCUGGAACCACUAGGAGAUUUGGCCAGAAAAAAAAACAUAUUUGCAAAUAUAAUUUAUGGUAUCUAAACUGUUUGUAGGAAUAAACAUUUUUAGGUUAUGUGACAGCUAACUUUAAGAGUUAAGCAGACGGUUCGCACUACAUCUGUAAUCCCCAUUUUUUUCCCACAAUUAGAUUUUUAAGAGUGUCUUAACCACAGUUUGUCACAUUAGAUGAAGAACAUAUGUGCAUGCUGAAAUUAUUAAUAACAUCUCAUUCUUCAGCUCUUCUACCCACAAUCAUUUAAAAAGGGCAAUAGAUACAUAUAAACAUUCUAACAUCUGGCUAUACAGACAUACAAUAUUUUUGUAAAUAUAAGUAAUCAUUCAUCUCUCCUUGCAGUAUUCUACCCUUUUCUAUCUUCAGAUUGUCUCUUUCUAAAGCCAUAUCAUCAUGCUGCACUGGAAACAUGGCAUCUACAUAUUGCUAUUGGAACCACACCGGCCUGUUCCUGUUAGCGCUGUUCCACCUCCACAGCCUUAGGGACCACCAAAGAGAUGGAAACGUGCAUCCCUGCUAAAUGCACUACUUACAAUUUCU